ACUCCUGCGGGAGGCAGCAGUGAGGAAUAUUGGACAAUGGGUGGAAGCCUGAUCCAGCCAUCCCGCGUGCAGGAAGACGGCCCUAUGGGUUGUAAACUGCUUUUAUCUGGGGAUAAACCUACUUACGUGUAAGUAGCUGAAGGUACCAGAAGAAUAAGCACCGGCUAACUCCGUGCCAGCAGCCGCGGUAAUACGGAGGGUGCAAGCGUUAUCCGGAUUUAUUGGGUUUAAAGGGUCCGUAGGCGGACUGAUAAGUCAGUGGUGAAAUCCGACAGCUUAACUGUCGAACUGCCAUUGAUACUGUUAGUCUUGAGUAAGGUUGAAGUGGCUGGAAUAAGUAGUGUAGCGGUGAAAUGCAUAGAUAUUACUUAGAACACCAAUUGCGAAGGCAGGUCACUAAGUCUUAACUGACGCUGAUGGACGAAAGCGUGGGGAGCGAACAGGAUUAGAAACCCUGGUAGUCCCA
Molecule: ribosomal RNA, 466 nt
Filed under: uncultured organism
Description: partial 16S ribosomal RNA
Rfam family: Bacterial small subunit ribosomal RNA
Source: RNAcentral